Molecule: small RNA, 66 nt
Filed under: Myotis lucifugus (little brown bat)
Lineage: Eukaryota; Metazoa; Chordata; Mammalia; Chiroptera; Vespertilionidae
Description: GRIK4 3 prime UTR element (ENSMLUG00000024220.1)
Source: RNAcentral
UAGAGGCGGCAGAGACAGGAACAGAGUCAAGGCAGUGGAGGUGGGAGGCAGGAGGGAAACCAGCCG